AGAAGUGGGGCCAGCGUAGGCAUCUUUUGAGCAUACUAGCAGAAACGCUGAAGAUUUAUCAAGUAUGGGAUAGACCUAAAGGCUGCAAAGGAAAUUGAUCGAACAUGGGCUGGACUUGAAGCUUGCAUGUUCCGAACAGGAAUCUGUGGGUCUUUACUCACCAAAAAUGCAAAAAGGAAAUACUUCCAUCACGUUAGAGCUGUCCUUGGCCGGUGUCCGAAGUACAGAAUGUGGGAAGGGUCUCCCCAAAACACAGACCCGUGUGGAAAGAGAAGCAGAGCUAAAGCUGAGUGCUGCUGCCGUGUUCCUUCUGCAGCCCAGGCCUUGCAGAACUGCCGCAGAGGACAAGGGAAAGGCUUCUGGGGAUCCCAAAGGACUCCAAGCAGAGAUUUUAAGUGCUGAGAGCUGUGCACUGCUGCAGACAUUGCUCUGCCAGGCAGGACUUUGAAUGAAAGUUUCUGUGACACCUUCACCACUGAAAAAAUAACAAGACAGAUCCGAAGGCACCAAAACAAAACGCUGCAAGUCAAAGUGCAGCGUCUUUGAUGCAUGUUUUGCAGGGUUUGAACAUUUCUGGUGACAGAGCUCUGCUUGAUUAUUGUAGGGAAACUAAUUAAACUCUACACCAAAAUCAUUGGGGGAAUAAUGUGAUGCCUGGUACAAGAAAGAAGCACGAGCAAACUCUAAUCCUUCUGCAGCUCCAGACAUGAGUUAUCUCACUGCAGCACAUGCCCCCGGUUCUGCUCUAUAACUCUGCAGUAACAAAGGGCACAGUCAGAGAUUCGAUGACAUGUUUUUAUAUUUUCUUAAUUUUUUAGAGUAUAUUUAUAUUGGAAC
Molecule: long non-coding RNA, 837 nt
Organism: Lagopus muta (rock ptarmigan)
Lineage: Eukaryota; Metazoa; Chordata; Aves; Galliformes; Phasianidae
Exons: 3
Source: RefSeq, a predicted model, not a curated record